UAGAUGGAUGCUUUCUGGUUUAAGCGCUUAACUGUUAAUUAAGAGUUUGUAGGAUCGAGGCCUGCUCAUCUAG
Molecule: transfer RNA, 73 nt
Filed under: Aphyosemion cognatum (redspot panchax)
Lineage: Eukaryota; Metazoa; Chordata; Actinopteri; Cyprinodontiformes; Nothobranchiidae
Description: tRNA-Asn
Rfam family: tRNA
About the family: Transfer RNA (tRNA) molecules are approximately 80 nucleotides in length.
Source: RNAcentral